AUUGAACGCUGGCGGCAGGCCUAACACAUGCAAGUCGAGCGGUAGCACAGAGAGCUUGCUCUCGGGUGACGAGCGGCGGACGGGUGAGUAAUGUCUGGGAAACUGCCUGAUGGAGGGGGAUAACUACUGGAAACGGUAGCUAAUACCGCAUAACGUCGCAAGACCAAAGUGGGGGACCUUCGGGCCUCAUGCCAUCAGAUGUGCCCAGAUGGGAUUAGCUAGUAGGUGGGGUAACGGCUCACCUAGGCGACGAUCCCUAGCUGGUCUGAGAGGAUGACCAGCCACACUGGAACUGAGACACGGUCCAGACUCCUACGGGAGGCAGCAGUGGGGAAUAUUGCACAAUGGGCGCAAGCCUGAUGCAGCCAUGCCGCGUGUGUGAAGAAGGCCUUCGGGUUGUAAAGCACUUUCAGCGGGGAGGAAGGCGUUAAGGUUAAUAACCUUGGCGAUUGACGUUACCCGCAGAAGAAGCACCGGCUAACUCCGUGCCAGCAGCCGCGGUAAUACGGAGGGUGCAAGCGUUAAUCGGAAUUACUGGGCGUAAAGCGCACGCAGGCGGUCUGUCAAGUCGGAUGUGAAAUCCCCGGGCUCAACCUGGGAACUGCAUUCGAAACUGGCAGGCUAGAGUCUUGUAGAGGGGGGUAGAAUUCCAGGUGUAGCGGUGAAAUGCGUAGAGAUCUGGAGGAAUACCGGUGGCGAAGGCGGCCCCCUGGACAAAGACUGACGCUCAGGUGCGAAAGCGUGGGGAGCAAACAGGAUUAGAUACCCUGGUAGUCCACGCCGUAAACGAUGUCGAUUUGGAGGUUGUGCCCUUGAGGCGUGGCUUCCGGAGCUAACGCGUUAAAUCGACCGCCUGGGGAGUACGGCCGCAAGGUUAAAACUCAAAUGAAUUGACGGGGGCCCGCACAAGCGGUGGAGCAUGUGGUUUAAUUCGAUGCAACGCGAAGAACCUUACCUGGUCUUGACAUCCACAGAACUUUCCAGAGAUGGAUUGGUGCCUUCGGGAACUGUGAGACAGGUGCUGCAUGGCUGUCGUCAGCUCGUGUUGUGAAAUGUUGGGUUAAGUCCCGCAACGAGCGCAACCCUUAUCCUUUGUUGCCAGCGGUUCGGCCGGGAACUCAAAGGAGACUGCCAGUGAUAAACUGGAGGAAGGUGGGGAUGACGUCAAGUCAUCAUGGCCCUUACGACCAGGGCUACACACGUGCUACAAUGGCAUAUACAAAGAGAAGCGACCUCGCGAGAGCAAGCGGACCUCAUAAAGUAUGUCGUAGUCCGGAUUGGAGUCUGCAACUCGACUCCAUGAAGUCGGAAUCGCUAGUAAUCGUAGAUCAGAAUGCUACGGUGAAUACGUUCCCGGGCCUUGUACACACCGCCCGUCACACCAUGGGAGUGGGUUGCAAAAGAAGUAGGUAGCUUAACCUUCGGGAGGGCGCUUACCAC
This 1440-nucleotide ribosomal RNA is filed under the name uncultured organism. RNAcentral describes it as "16S ribosomal RNA". It matches the Rfam family "Bacterial small subunit ribosomal RNA". The record is from RNAcentral.